CUAGCAGUAUCAGAGUUUGAUCCUGGCUCAGGAUGAACGCUGGCGGCGUGCCUAACACAUGCAAGUCGAGCGGUAUAUAGUGGAAUGAAACUUCGGUCGAGUGAAGCUAUAGAGAGCGGCGGACGGGUGAGUAACGCGUAGGCAACCUGCCCCAUACAGAGGGAUAGCCUCGGGAAACCGGGAUUAAAACCUCAUAACGCAGAGAGUUCACAUGGACUAUCUGCCAAAGAUUCAUCGGUAUGGGAUGGGCCUGCGUCUGAUUAGCUAGUUGGUGAGGUAACGGCUCACCAAGGCGACGAUCAGUAGCCGACCUGAGAGGGUAAUCGGCCACAUUGGAACUGAGACACGGUCCAA
RNAcentral lists this ribosomal RNA (354 nucleotides) under uncultured bacterium. RNAcentral's name for it is "bacterial SSU rRNA". It matches the Rfam family "Bacterial small subunit ribosomal RNA", at positions 1 to 334 of the family's 1533-position model. The record is from RNAcentral.